Molecule: ribosomal RNA, 568 nt
Filed under: uncultured bacterium
Lineage: Bacteria
Description: bacterial SSU rRNA
Rfam family: Bacterial small subunit ribosomal RNA
Source: RNAcentral
CCUACGGGAGGCAGCAGUGGGGAAUAUUGCACAAUGGGCGAAAGCCUGAUGCAGCGACGCCGCGUGAGGGAUGACGGCCUUCGGGUUGUAAACCUCUUUCAGCAGGGAAGAAGCGCAAGUGACGGUACCUGCAGAAGAAGCACCGGCUAACUACGUGCCAGCAGCCGCGGUAAUACGUAGGGUGCGAGCGUUGUCCGGAAUUAUUGGGCGUAAAGAGCUCGUAGGCGGUCUGUCACGUCGGAUGUGAAAGCCCGGGGCUUAACCCCGGGCCUGCAUUCGAUACGGGCAGACUAGAGUGUGGUAGGGGAGAUCGGAAUUCCUGGUGUAGCGGUGAAAUGCGCAGAUAUCAGGAGGAACACCGGUGGCGAAGGCGGAUCUCUGGGCCAUUACUGACGCUGAGGAGCGAAAGCGUGGGGAGCGAACAGGAUUAGAUACCCUGGUAGUCCACGCCGUAAACGUUGGGAACUAGGUGUUGGCGACAUUCCACGUCGUCGGUGCCGCAGCUAACGCAUUAAGUUCCCCGCCUGGGGAGUACGGCCGCAAGGCUAAAACUCAAAUGAAUUGACGG